GUGGGGGGCGAAAGCGCCUACACUUCAGGCACGGGUCAGACGGCUUCCGACAGGGGAUGCUCGUCGGUGUGAACGGCUAACCCCACCGGGCCCUGUCCUGUUAAAAAAAGAAAAAGCAUCCUCUGCCCCGCGGCGCAAAGAUCCCGCUCCUCUUGGGCGAAAGAUGCCUCGUUGCCCAACAAACAGCCUUAUCUCUCUUCUCCUGGCCGCGGGGAGCGGCAGGAAAUCGGGGCAGCUGCCGGCAGCUGCUGGCGAUGUCUCGAAAGCCGCAGGCAGGGUCACGGCCGCUGCCGCGCUCCCACCGCCGUGUCCCGAGGUGGCGUAACCCGGGGAGGGGGGUUCACGGGCUUAUCCACAGCCUCUCCCUUUGCUCCCACCUGUCAUCUCUAGUUUUUCUUCAUUUCUUUGCUGUCCGCCCACCCCAUCCCCUACAGCUGGAGCGACCGAGUCCCUAAGGACAAGGCAGGUUGCCCACGCGAAAGCACGGAGAGUUUGAGCCCCGGGAGGACAUCUUCUGCCCUCUACCCCCGCCCCGGGCGGUCCCAGCGCCGCGCUUCCCGCGGGGCUUUCGACGAGCCCUGGGCACCGGACCGGGCUCCGCCGGGGGCGGUGAGGCGCCGCGCUACCCCCGAGGAGCCGCGCUGGGAGAAAUACAGAUGCAAAAGCAGGACGUGGGUAAAUGAGAGAAGAUAAGGUAUUGCUCCUGCAAGCAGAACAUCCUGUCUUCAAAGUGGGCAACAAGCCAUUCCUGUGGUGCUGGAUGGGGAUGGGGAAAGUUGCCAGAAAAAUUUUUGGUGCACGUGCAGUAAAAAUCCUCUCCCCACAAAUUCUGGUUUGUAAAAGAUUUCUAACAGAAGUGAGCACUCUGCCCUUAUUGGACUCUCUUUUGUGCAAAUCAGCUAGCAGCAGGAAUUUCAAAGGAGCAGAUAAAAUGAACCAUGUUAUAGGUCAACAGAGGAGGAUAUUAUCCGAGGAGCUUUCACUAUUCUUCCUGUGUUGUCUGCCCUGCUGAUCCAUUUCGGCAGAGCUAGCAGUCAAGCUCCACUUGCAAAGAGGAUAUUGGGAAAUGAGAUUAAUGCACCUCAGGCUGAGUGUGCUACCUGGGA
Molecule: long non-coding RNA, 1106 nt
Filed under: Junco hyemalis (dark-eyed junco)
Lineage: Eukaryota; Metazoa; Chordata; Aves; Passeriformes; Passerellidae
Description: lncRNA (ENSJHYG00000004936.1)
Source: RNAcentral